AUUCAUUUUUGUUUAAAAGUUAUAUUUAAAGAUCAUAUUGUAUGGUAUUGAUGAUUAUAUUGUAUUGUAUGUUGUUUGUUAUUUCCUACAGUUAUUGAAAUUAAACAUUUACAUAGUGGUAACCUAAAGUAAAAUAAGCAGUUUUAAAAGCCGGGUUACACAGAACUGUAGUUUAAAAAAUUGAUAAUUUGAUAAUAAUAUAUACGUUAUCUUCUUUGUUGCACAUUCCAAACAGACACUAUCAUAUUCAUCCAUAUAUUAUUACUGGUGCCUGAAACAGCCUCCCAUCUACUCUAUUAAUCUACUGAGAAUUUAUAAAUCCUUCCACAACGUUUGGCUUUAUUUGCAUGUCAACUAUAUACUAACAUUGUCCUUCAUAUUUUACAAGAUAAUACUCUUUCACGCAUUUACACAAUUUACAUUGGCCGUUGAAUAACCAUUCGAAGAAUACAACACAUACAGAUCUAUAACUUAUGUAUAACAUCGCCAUAAUAAUAACAUAUUGUAAAUACUUAAUAUUUUCACAGUUUGCUCUAGAUGAAUAAUUGUAUUUUGUUCACAAACAGCCACUUCCGGUUACCCCUGUGACAAGUGUGGCCGGAGGUACAAGUAUCGCGAGAACCUAAGCAGACACCGGAACCACGAGUGUGGAGUAGAGCCUCGCUUCCAUUGUCAACUCUGCAAGUUCAAGACCAAACAGAAGAGCAGUCUCAAGAUGCAUGUCAUCACUAAACAUAGUGAUGCCUGUUAAUUAAUUAUUAACACGAAGUCUUUGAAGUAGCCGUGAGGUGAGUAGAGAUACUGAUGACAAUGUGACGCGUACAAGCAUGAAACAUGCAAGCGUCAUCGAGUCUAUUAUGUCCACGAUCCCCAGUCUGCACUAACCGACUUCUAAGACUAAUCGUGUUCGUUCUCUCAAGUAGUCGUCCUGUGGUCACUAGCAUCACUGUAAAAAUCAUCGUCACGUUAUAAGACAAUGUAAUUUAAAGAUAAAAUUAUUUACAGUAUUUAAAGAUUAGUGAAAUUAAUAUUAAUUAUCGAUCUAUCGCAAUUAGAAGUAACUACGCAAUAAUAAGAUAGUCGUGAGUACGUUUUUAAGAAUAGAUUUAGAAAGCUCUUACUAAUAACCUCUUCUCUCACGAAAUCAUUAGUGUAUUCUCUCAACUCAUGGCUACUUCCAAAUGUUUCUUUCAGUUGUCUUUAGGAUAUUAGUGACUAUGUUAUUAUUGUUAUGUAUUAUUAUUUCUCUUUAAUAAUUUACUGUCUUUAGUUCUAUUAUUUCCUUGUAGCUUAGACUAUUUUAAUUGUGAUUUUAAAUUAUUACAUACAAAGAUGAAUUUUUUAGCCAUCAUAUAUCUUUGUUUUUAGUAACAAUAUAGUAAUUAUAUCAUAAUGCGUACAAUUUGAUAAAGUAGAAAACUUCUUAGGUUUUUCACAUUAAAUAAAAAUUGCAUUUAGUCAAAUUUUAAAGGUUUAUAAAAUAAUUUUAAUUUAUUCUUUUAUUAUUUGAACUUGCUAGGGUAGUAGGAAUAUAGAGUGUUUAAGUUGAAAUUCGAUUAAUGUAAUAUUUUAGUGUUAAUUGAGUCAGUUUUAAUCUUUGAAUUCAGUCUACAGACGUACAGUAUUUGUUAAUUUGUGCUUUCCUAUGCCCGAUUUACUAAAACAAUAUAGAAAGUAUAUAUGUAAUUAAUUCAUAGUGGUAAAUAUAUUAGUUAUGAUUUAAUAUAUAUUUAAGUUAUAUUAUAAUUUCAUUAAUUGGUAUACAUCACACUUUGUCAAAUCAAGGACAAGAGAUUGACUUGUUUUGAAAAGCCAUAGUUAUUCUACAAGAACAUAGUCGCCUAAUCAUCUUCCAGACCCUACUAACUUUACUUUUGGCAUAUGAAAAGUAAGUCCGCAAUGAUACUAUAUUGUCCACUUUAAUAAGUUACUGUUUGACUGUUUUUUUUAAAUAUAUCUAUAAGAAGCUUAAUAAAUUUAUCUUAAAUUACUUCUAUUUUAAGUAUAAACCUAAAUUCCCUGUUAUCAUAAAUGUUAUAAUCAAUAAUAUUUCCAUAUUGUUUGCACGUGUACCAACAUUACAGUUUUCUAAUAUCACAUUUCUAGUUAUAUUUAUAAUUACAAUAGUGAUAGCAAUUUUUAUGAAUCAGAGUAUAAAUAAAUUUGUGAUGAAAAAAUAGUAAUAAUGUUGUAAAUAUAUUUCCACUUCGUCUUUAAAUAGUCCAACGAAAACUAAAUCAAAAACUUUAAGAGGGAAUUGUCUGUUUUUAAAUAUUUUUCUCCUCUCCCAAAUGAAGUAUUGGAUGCAAAAACAUGUCAAUGCCUGAUAUGCGAUCCAUGAAAUGAAAGAACAAGAACAGAGUCCAAACUGUUAGAAUGUAGGCUACUUUUGUAACCGUAUAGAAGUGUAAGAAAUUUAAACUGUAGUUUUCUGUGUGUGUUUUAUAAAGUAUACCUAAUUUGAAUUCAGGACAUUUUUAAUAGUUUAAUUGUUACAGCCGACAUUUAGUAAACUGUUUUAAAUAUUUACCACUUGUCAUAGGGACGAGAUAAAGGGGUUUACGCGAGAAAGAAUGUUAAAUUAAUCACGGAGAAUUCAUUUGAAAAUGCUGAUUUCUAUCACGCCCUGUCUUAAUUUUGGUAAAGAAUACAAACAAACUUGAAGCAUUCACAUAACAAAAUCCUCAUAACAAAGAUAAUUCAAACCCAAUCGUGUCAUUAAACCUAGUAACUAUCACUAGUCCACAGAAUUUGCUACGCUAGGUUCUGUUAGUGGUAGUACUAUGUAUUGCCACUGGAUCUUGCUAUGAAUAGUUGUUGCAGUGAGAAUUCUAUAUGGUUUGUCUUAUUUGCGCUUGAAAGAUUUCGUUUCUCUUUUUAUUACCAAGCAAUUUAAGAAAAGGCAUGUUACUCGUAUUUGAUUGCCACUCUACAAAUAUUAGUGAUUAAACUUAUCUACAUUUUCGACAUUUUAUCAUAUAUGUUUCAGUUUAAAGCAGUAGAAUCUAUGAACCCUGUCAAACUAAUAUGGGCUUUUGAUAUUUCACAAUCUACUGAAAAUGCACUAAUUACUCACUCUCCUGAUUCCUGAAAUCAUGUAAUACAGUCUUGUCUCACCCUUGGGUAUGUUUCAGACUGCGAGGGUGGCAAGUAUCGAUGUCCCCGGUGUGGGAAGGGUUACAAGUACAGGCCAGGCCUGAGCCGUCACAAAGCUCAGUAUUGCGGUCAACAACCACGCUUCAACUGUCAUCUAUGUCCGUACCAGGCCCGCCAGAAGAUUCACCUCCAGAACCAUCUCGCCGCUAAGCACAUGCUGAUUACUGCGUAGAUCGGUGUACAACGACCAUCGGGUGCCUUCACACGUUUCGAACACUCUUAGACUAUUCGAUAUUCUGUCUCAAGGAGAAGAAGUUUCCAGCUAAAUUAAUAAAUGUAUGCAAGAUCCCUCUAUGUAUCCGUUCACCUGCCAGAUUUGCGGCAAAGCGUACAAGUACAAGAAAAACCUCAUACGUCACGUAAAACACGAGUGUAACAUGGAACCCAAGUUCACCUGUACGCUGUGCCCCUUUAAGAGCAAACAGCACGGCCACUUAAAGAUCCACAUGCUAAAAAAACAUUCUAUGAACUUUAAUAUUGCUUUAAUUCCUUAAUAUUGUUAUUUAAAUGUGGCAGCUAUGUUCCAAAUAUGUGAUUGUUUUUCAUUACUUAUAUUAAAAUAAUUCAGUUGUA
This 3729-nucleotide long non-coding RNA is filed under the name Homalodisca vitripennis (glassy-winged sharpshooter). RNAcentral's name for it is "uncharacterized LOC124356127". Lineage: Eukaryota; Metazoa; Arthropoda; Insecta; Hemiptera; Cicadellidae. The record is from RNAcentral.